Molecule: small RNA, 779 nt
Filed under: Pan troglodytes (chimpanzee)
Lineage: Eukaryota; Metazoa; Chordata; Mammalia; Primates; Hominidae
Description: processed transcript
Source: RNAcentral
UUUAAGUUCCGCGCGCAGGCCACGCUGCAACCUGAGGGCCAGAUCCCUCGCUGUCCUAGUCGCUGCUCCUUGGAGUCAUGUUCCCAGCCGCCCCUUCUCCGCGGACCCCGGGUACCGGGUCCCGAAGGGGCCCGCUGGCCGGACUCGGGUCCGGCUCCACGCCCCGGACGGCUAGCAGGAAGGGUCUGCCCCUGGGGUCUGCAGUCAGCUCCCCAGUGCUCUUCUCGCCGGUCGGCCGGCGUAGCUCGCUAAGCUCGCGGGGAACACCAACACGAAUGUUCCCACACCACUCCAUAACUGAGUCUGUGAACUAUGAUGUGAAAACGUUUGGAUCUUCUCUUCCUGUUAAAGUCAUGGAAGCCCUAACAUUGGCUGAAGUCGAUGACCAGCUGACCAUUAACAUAGAUGAAGGUGGAUGGGCUUGUCUGGUGUGCAAAGAGAAGCUCAUUAUUUGGAAGAUUGCUCUGUCACCUAUUACUAAGUUAUCGGUUUGCAAAGAACUUCAGCUGCCACCUAGUGAUUUCCACUGGAGUGCCGACUUAGUGGCUCUUUCUUACUCUGCUCCCUCAGGUGAAGCACAUUCUACUCAGGCUGUUGCUGUCAUGGUUGCCACCAGAGAAGGAUCUAUCCGCUAUUGGCCAAGCCUUGCUGGUGAAGAUACCUACACAGAGACUUUUGUAGAUUCGGGAGGUGAUAAGACUUACAGUUUCCUAACAGCAGUGCAGGUUCACAAAGAAACAAAAUCUGGCUGAGCAUGGUGGCUCAUGCCUGCAGUCUCA